UCCCGGAUGUAGUGCGCUGGUGCAGCGAGCCCCGCCUGGCAUCAGCCUCUGAGCGGGCUGAUCCACUUCCUUCGCUGCCAGGAGAGGAUAAACGAGCUCAGAUUCACUUGAAAAGCACAAAUGUUUCCACCAAGAUGCAGUUGUUUACUUUCCAUCACAGCUUUGGAAGGAUCUGAAUGAAUGAGAUGUCCUGUAUAAUUAACAGAGUGAUUCAACUUUGCUACAAGGAGCCCUGCCAUCUUCUCAAUUUUCUCGGAUCAUUCUCCUUCAGUCAUCAGUGUUGAAACAAAAAUUGGACACUUUACGGAGCCCAGAUUUCAUACUACAGCUGUCUAAAUGCACUGUGCAAC
Tupaia belangeri chinensis (Chinese tree shrew) is the source of this 350-nucleotide long non-coding RNA. RefSeq lists it as uncharacterized. The transcript has 5 exons. NCBI's taxonomy places the organism in Eukaryota, Metazoa, Chordata, Mammalia, Scandentia, Tupaiidae. The record is from RefSeq and is a predicted model, not a curated record.